This 2043-nucleotide unclassified non-coding RNA is filed under the name Leishmania donovani. RNAcentral describes it as "gene:unknown". Lineage: Eukaryota; Euglenozoa; Kinetoplastea; Trypanosomatida; Trypanosomatidae. The record is from RNAcentral.
UGCCUCGUUGGUUUUUGCACGCCUCAUCGCACAGACGUACGCAUCUCUCCCCUCUACACGUGCUGCGCAUAUCUCCACAUAACCAAAAGACUGUAGAACGCACGUGGUCUGGCGUGGCGCCUUCCGCGAGUCGCCUUCACGCCUCACCCGCGCCCGCUCUUUCCUGAAAGCGUCGAUGAUUUGGCAUUGACUUGCGCACGAGUACGUGUGCCAGCAUGAACCAGAAUCCCGCCGCUCAGGCCGGCGACAAGGUGCCGAACAUGUCGAACGCGCGCCGCGGCGAGACGUCCGACGACUACGCGCGACACAAGGCGGCCGCUAGCCGAGCGUUCCUGGAGAACCACUAUCAAAGCCUGCUCGCGAACACGCGCAACGGCGUCGGCCGUGCUGUCGGCCCGCGGCAGAAGGAGCCGUCCUUUUCCGACUUCCAUCUCUUCAAGUGCAUCGGUCGCGGUGCCUUUGGCGAAGUGUUUGUGUGCAAGUACAAGAGUGACAAGACCGACACCCUCUACGCCCUGAAGCGGCUGCGCAAGUCGGACAUGAUCACGAAGAAGCAAGUCGUCCACGUCCGCUCGGAAAAGGACGUCCUGGCCGAGGCGGCGGCGUCGAAUCCAUGGGUGGUGCACCUCUACCGCAGCUUCCAGGACUCUCUCUACCUCUACAUGGUGAUGGAGUACAUGCCCGGUGGUGACAUGAUCUCGUGGCUGUGCGACAAGGGCAUUUUUGACGUGGAGAGCACGCGCUUUUACAUUGCCGAGCUCUGCGCUGCCGUGGCGAGCGUGCACGACAUGGGAUUUGUGCACCGCGACAUCAAGCCGGACAACAUUCUCUUUGGGGAGUCGGGGCACAUCAAGCUGAGCGACUUCGGCCUCUCCAAGCGCUUCGUGGAGAAGCGCGGCAACCUGCUUGACUACGAUGACCCGUCCUCCUCGUCGAACGGCGCCGAGGCAUCGGCAGAUGAGAAGAGCGCGUACGAGUCAAGGACAGACGCGCCGUCAGGGUCGCCCUCCGGAGACGGCGCUGGCACCGGCAUCGCACACGGCCGCGUUCGCGAGAUGUUCCAGUCCAUCGUGGGCAGCCCCGGCUACAUCGCACCGGAGAUCCUGCUGCGCAAGCCGUACGGCGUCGGCUGUGACUGGUGGUCGGUCGGCGUCAUCAUGUACGAGAUGCUCUACGGCAUUCCGCCCUUCUUCUCGCAGAACCCCAACUCGACGUGCCAUAAGAUCAAAAACUGGCGGGAGCACCUUGUCUUCCCCCCGCAACGCCACAUUCCUGAUGACGCGGUGGACUUCAUGAAGCGCCUGAUCUGCGAGCCGGAAAAGCGCAUGACGUACGACGAGAUAUGCCACCACGACUUCCUCAAGCCGAUGGACAUGAACGGGCUGCUCAAGUUGCAGGCGCCGUAUGUGCCGGCCCUCUCCAACCGCCUGGAUACCAAGUACUUCCCUGAGAUCAAGGAGCCGAGCGCGCCGAUGCAACAGAGCGAGGAGCAGAAAGUGCGCGAGGUGGACCCCCGCGGCGUCAUGUUUGCCGACUUCCGCUUCAACUACAGCGGCGACCAAGCCGGUCCAGCAAGCGCGUAAGCGGCUGAGAAAAGGAAGAAGUGCAUAUGUGUACAUGUGUAUGCGUCUCCCCCCUCUCUCUCUCUCUAUAUAUAUAUGUGUGUGUGUGCGUAUAUGUGCACGUGUGUGUGUGUGUGUGUGCACUGUACUCUCCCGUAUUUUGUUGCCUCGAACGCUUCCACGUACUUUCAUGUGUUUUGUUGGUUCCCCUCCUUUGCGCACACACGCACGCACGCACGCGCUCUCAUUGAUAUCGCCUUGGCACUGCGGGCUCUCAUCUCGCGGCCGCUCCUUCCGUGUGUUUUCGCCCACCCCACCCCCACCACACUACCCCUCUCCGACCACCUAUGCAGUGGAGGCGCAACACGAACACGAGUGGUCCAGGGCCACCUCUGGUUUUGCUGUCAUCAAUGUCGUCGUGCGGUCGUGCGCGGAUGCUACGUUGUGCUUGACUCCUUCGUCGUUCUCUCAUUACGCGUCC